Molecule: long non-coding RNA, 1752 nt
Organism: Piliocolobus tephrosceles (Ugandan red Colobus)
Lineage: Eukaryota; Metazoa; Chordata; Mammalia; Primates; Cercopithecidae
Source: Ensembl
AUGAUUAAUGGAGAUAUGAUUAAUGGAGAUAUGAUUGAUGAAGGUGUGAUUAAUGAAGGUGUGAUUAAUGAAGGUAUAAUUGAUGGAGAUAUGAUUGAUGGAGAUAUGAUUGAUGAAGUGGUGGAUGAUGAAGUGGUGGAUGAUGAAGUGGUCGAUGAUGAAGUGGUGGAUGAUGAAGGUAUGAUUGAUGAAGGUGUGAUUAAUGAAGGUAUGCUUGAGCAUAGUAUAAACAACAACGAAUUAGACGAUUCCAGUUCAGACUAUAACAAUUGGGAUAACAAAUCGGAUGAUGAGGAAAGUGAAGAAGAUGAAGAAAUAAACAAUAAUAAUAUUUUAAUUGUUGGUGAUGAGAAUUUAGAAUUUUCAAGAUAUAUAAUUGAAACAUAUCCAGAUUCAAACAUAUUUAUAGCAAGUACUUCAACCGAGUUCGAAAUGAAUUACAUAUUAAAAGAUUUAGAGAGUAAAAAAAACUUAAAAUAUGAAAAUGGUAAUACAAAUAGAGGUAAUAAUGAAAGUGUAAAUGACAAUGCUGCAAAUUUCGAUAUAAAUAAGGAGAAUUAUUUUUUUUAUUAUACUAAAAAAUUUAAAGAAAAAUAUGCAGAUAAAAAUGUAUAUGUAAUGUUUAAUAUAAAUUUAUUCAAUUUAAGAUGUUGUUUCCCAAAUGAUUUUUUCGGAACCGUGUUUUGGGUUUUACCAGGUAUGUGUUACAAUAUUAAAGAAAAAAAACUCAAGUGCAAUCAGAAGAUCACUACACUAAGGUUAUAUUAUUUUUGCAUUUUAGUACUAAUAGAAAUGAUUAAAACAUGUAUAAAAAAUGCACGUUUUCACAUGUUAUGGACUAAAGAGGAACUUGCAAGUUUAAUUGAAAAUAAUAACGAUGGAUAUAGUCAAAAGAAGGACAAGUCGAACGAUAAACCAGAUAUUAUUAAUAAAAAGGUAGACUGUGUUGAGCAAAAAGUUAUAAAAAAAGAAAGCGUACAUGAUACAAUAAAUUAUCUUAAAAAUUUUAUGUUUAAAAAAAAUACAAACAACAUCGACGCAAGUAACGAAAAUAGCCAAAAUGAUGAAAACAACGAGAAUGACGGAGAUAAAAAUGACGUAGAUAAAAAUGACGUAGAUAAAAAUGAUGGUGAUAAAAAUGAUGGUGAUAAAAAUGACGGAGAUAAAAAUGACGGUGAUAAAAAUGACGAUAAUAAAAAUGACGGAGAUAAAAAUGACGAUGAUAAAAAUGACGAUGAUAAAAAUGACGAUGAUAAAAAUGACGGAGAUAAAAAUUACGAAAAUAACGGUGAUGAAAUAAACGAAACUACACUUAAGGAAAAUGCAGAAGGAACACAAGAGAAGCAAGUUUCUGAUAAAGAUAAGGAUGAUAAAGAUAAGGAUGAUAAAGAUAAGGAUGAUAAAGAUAAGGAUGAUAAAGAUAAGGCGGAUAAAGAUAAGGCGGAUAAAGAUAAGGUGGAUAAAGAUAAGGCGGAUGUAGAUGGAGCCAGUUGCUUGGAUAAUAAUUCUGUUCGAACUUCCAAAGAGAAGUCAUGUGUUGACGUCGUUGAUGAUGGAGUAAACCAAAACGAAAAAAAAUUCGAUGAAGUAAAAAAAUGAUGAAGACAUAAAUGAAUACAUUUUAAGUGUGUUCAAAAAUGAUAAUGAUAAUAAUAAUGGUGAUAAUUUUAUAAAAUCAAAAAAUGGAGUAAACAUAAUAGAUAUAGUAAACACAACAAUAAAUAGUAACGAAAAUAGUGACGGAAAAAGUGA